Long non-coding RNA from Helianthus annuus (common sunflower), 457 nucleotides. RefSeq lists it as uncharacterized. The transcript has 2 exons. The record is from RefSeq and is a predicted model, not a curated record. Lineage: Eukaryota; Viridiplantae; Streptophyta; Magnoliopsida; Asterales; Asteraceae.
GGGCCAACACCAGUAACGGUUGUCUUCCCCCCAAGUGAUCGAGAGAUCCCUCGCGUACACCAAGAAGCAGUUGCCAUGUGAUGCCUUGUCAACCCAAUAUUUCUGCUUCAACGAUAAUACGAUUUCAUGUAAAACAAUCCAGAGCAGCAGGAAGGAGCGUAGGUUUGGUCACAGUCAGUCAGUCACUUUGUUUGUUGUGAUCUAAUCCUGAAGGAAUUAGAUUCCAUGGAGUGGAAUCUUAAUGGAAGACCGUUCUUUAGAGCUAGAGUUGCCGGAUUCCAUAGACGUCCAACUUUUUAUGCAUACAGAGCAUCUACGAAAAGAUAGGCAUUAUGGAUUGUUGCUUUUAUAUUUUCUCAUAUUUUUUUUACUCAUUAUUUGCUACUAAAUAGUCGGUUAAUACGUUCCACCGUUUAAGAUAUUUUUUUUUUAUUAAUGAACUUGCGUGUACUAUAUA